This 183-nucleotide ribosomal RNA is filed under the name uncultured eukaryote. Its description in RNAcentral is "partial 18S ribosomal RNA". It matches the Rfam family "Eukaryotic small subunit ribosomal RNA", at positions 1299 to 1458 of the family's 1831-position model. The record is from RNAcentral.
UGGUGGAGUGAUUUGUCUGGUUAAUUCCGAUAACGAACGAGACUCUAGCCUACUAAAUAGACCGCUGAUUGUAUCUCUAGUGAGUGAAGCCUCGGUGGAUCUCACUUGGGAAUUUAAACGUCAGUCGGUAUACUUCUUAGAGGGACAGGCGGAAUAUAAGCCGCACGAGAUUGAGCAAUAACA